RNAcentral lists this unclassified non-coding RNA (317 nucleotides) under uncultured Spizellomycetales. Its description in RNAcentral is "sequence contains ITS2". The record is from RNAcentral. Lineage: Eukaryota; Fungi; Chytridiomycota; Chytridiomycetes; Spizellomycetales.
AACGCACAUUGCGCUUCCUGGUAUUCCGGGGAGCAUGCCCGUUUCAGAAUCAUUACAAUCUCACAACCCCUUUGCUUUCGAGCUUAGGGCAAGUGGAUGUGGAUGCUUUGCGCUUUAGCAAUCAUCUUAAAAUGAUAGUGUGUGCCCCAGUCAGUCUGAUUGGUUAACCAAAGUGCAACAGAUUUAUCUAUUACGCUCUGGCUUUCAAAUCUGGACUUGUUGGGAUUCCUACUCAAAUUCUUAACAGUCGCCACGUCAAAUGAUGUGGUUCCUGAUAACUUGGUCUGAAAUCGGGCAAGAAAACCCGCUGAACUUAA